GCCGAGGUGGCGGAAUUGGCAUACGCGUCGGUCUCAAAAACCGAUGAUCGAAAGAUCAUGCGGGUUCAACUCCCGCCCUCGGCA
Molecule: transfer RNA, 84 nt
Filed under: Candidatus Omnitrophota bacterium
Lineage: Bacteria; Pseudomonadati; Candidatus Omnitrophota
Description: Candidatus Omnitrophica bacterium tRNA-Leu
Rfam family: tRNA
About the family: Transfer RNA (tRNA) molecules are approximately 80 nucleotides in length. Their secondary structure includes four short double-helical elements and three loops (D, anti-codon, and T loops).
Source: RNAcentral